Molecule: long non-coding RNA, 945 nt
Organism: Rana temporaria (common frog)
Lineage: Eukaryota; Metazoa; Chordata; Amphibia; Anura; Ranidae
Exons: 2
Source: RefSeq, a predicted model, not a curated record
UGCUCCUUCCGGUUUCAGCCAUUUCGCCGUUGGGACUCAGAACUAUCAGGAGGCAAAUCAACGUUGUUCUCGAAGAAAGCACGAAUCAUGAGUUGGAUCUUCGCGUUAGUUACACUGAUGGCCUGGACAGCGUUGGGUUUCACCUAAGCAGCAGGCUGCAGCUUUUCCAGGAAAGGGAGUGUUUCUUCUCUAUGGAGGAUUUUAUAUUUUUCUCUACGGAGGAAGUUAUAUUCUAACUGAGACAAAAGACUGUAUCGCCAGAAAGAAAGAGGACUUUGGCAUGUUGGAUCACAUUUUCUUUUGCUGUUUGCAUGGGACUUAAAUUGAGUUUAUCAGCAAAUGCUGGUAUUUGAAGAGUUUUGUGGCAGAUUCUUAGAAAUUGAACCAUCGGAUUGGUAGAGAUAAACUCCACCAAAUGCUGCCAGUGAUUCUUCACAUCGGUGGUUCCAAGAUAAGUUGUGGUCAUGAGUUUGGGAUCAGUGGAGCGCAAGUAGAAUGGGCGGUGGAACACAUGGGACGCUCAGAAGGCCGAUCUCUAAAUCUCUAUCUCUGUAAGGAAAACAAUCUUCUGAUUCCAAAAUGUGCCCUUUCUAUUGUUUUCUGGCUCCUUCCUCAUACAGUACGUACCAUAUAUCUUAUGUUGACUUUACAAUCCUUCUAAGCUUAUUACAAUGAAUUAACUCCAUUUAUAAACUUUAAGUUGGAUUAUUUUUAUAUAUUUUUUUAUCAUUUUUUUUUUAAUUUAUGUGUAAUCUAAUCCUGAUUUGUAUAUAAACAGUAAUUUAUUUCUAUAUCCCUGUAAUAUACUUUCCUUCUGAUCUUGUGCAUAUAUGUGGUAGCAUGGAGGUGGGUCCCGGGCUGCCACGCAUAUGUGACCUAUUCCCGAUCAAGUGAUCACUAACCUGUUUGCAGUGAUGACAUGGUAUAUAAAAAUUCCUGAACACG